AGGAUGAACGCUGGCGGCGUGCCUAACACAUGCAAGUCGAACGUCCUGUCUCGCAAGAGGCAGGGAGUGGCGGACGGGUGAGUACCACGUGGGUCAUCUACCGUGAGGUGAGGAAUACCGGCGAGAAAUCGCCGACAAGACCGCAUAGGCUCGAUGCAAGUCGAGCAAAGCUCUCUCGAGAGAGGGAGCGCCACACGAGGAGCCUGCGCCCGAUUAGCUAGCUGGUGGAGUAAUGGUUCACCAGGGCGACGAUCGGUAGCUGGUCUGAGAGGACGAUCAGCCACACUGGGAUUGAGAACGGCCCAGACUCCUACGGGGGCAGCAGUGAGGAAUUUCGUCAAUGGGGGCAACCCUGAACGAGCAACGCCGCGUGCAGGAAGAAGGUUUUCGGAUCGUAAACUGCUUUUCUCGGGGAAGAGAACGGACGGUACCCGAGGAAUCAGCCCCGGCUAACUACGCGCCAGCAGCCGCGGU
Molecule: ribosomal RNA, 474 nt
Filed under: uncultured bacterium
Lineage: Bacteria
Description: SSU rRNA
Rfam family: Bacterial small subunit ribosomal RNA
Source: RNAcentral